Molecule: ribosomal RNA, 445 nt
Filed under: uncultured bacterium
Lineage: Bacteria
Description: partial 16S ribosomal RNA
Rfam family: Bacterial small subunit ribosomal RNA
Source: RNAcentral
GUGAGGAAUAUUGGUCAAUGGGCGAGAGCCUGAACCAGCCAAGUCGCGUGAAGGAAGAAGGAUCUAUGGUUCGUAAACUUCUUUUGCAGGGGAAUAAAGUGCUGGACGUGUCCUGUUUUGUAUGUACCCUGAGAAUAAGGAUCGGCUAACUCCGUGCCAGCAGCCGCGGUAAUACGGAGGAUCCGAGCGUUAUCCGGAUUUAUUGGGUUUAAAGGGUGCGUAGGUGGUUUGAUAAGUCAGCGGUGAAAGUUUGCAGCUUAACUGUAAAAAUGCCGUUGAAACUGUCGGACUUGAGUGUAAAUGAGGUAGGCGGAAUGCGUGGUGUAGCGGUGAAAUGCAUAGAUAUCACGCAGAACUCCGAUUGCGAAGGCAGCUUACUAAGCUACAACUGACACUGAAGCACGAAAGCGUGGGGAUCAAACAGGAUUAGAUACCCCUGUAGUCC